Molecule: non-coding RNA, 28 nt
Filed under: Bombyx mori (domestic silkworm)
Lineage: Eukaryota; Metazoa; Arthropoda; Insecta; Lepidoptera; Bombycidae
Source: RNAcentral
UGAUUGGUCGUUUUCAAUUCAUCGGUGG